AUAAGUGCAUGUGGUGGAUGCCUUGGCGAUUACAGGCGAUGAAGGACGUUGUAGCCUGCGAAAAGCCGCGGGGAGCUGGCAAACAAGCUUUGAUCCGCGGAUGUCCGAAUGGGGAAACCCACCCGCAAGGGUAUCGCUGACUGAAUCCAUAGGUCAGCGAGGCGAACGUGGCGAACUGAAACAUCUAAGUAGCCACAGGAAAAGAAAUCAACCGAGAUUCCGAAAGUAGUGGCGAGCGAAAUCGGAGCAGCCUGUGCGUGAUAGUCGAUUGGCUAGUGGAACGGUAUGGAAAGGCCGGCCAUAGAGGGUGAUAGCCCCUUACACGAAAGCGAAUCGGUGGUACUGAGCGUACGACAAGUAGGGCGGGACACGUGUAAUCCUGUCUGAAGAUGGGGGGACCAUCCUCCAAGGCUAAAUACUCGUAAUCGACCGAUAGUGAACAAGUACUGUGAAGGAAAGGCGAAAAGAACCCCGGGAGGGGAGUGAAAUAGAUCCUGAAACCGCAUGCAUACAAACAGUCGGAGCCUCGCAAGGGGUGACGGCGUACCUUUUGUAUAAUGGGUCAGCGACUUACGUUCAGUGGCAAGCUUAACCAGAUAGGGGAGGCGCAGGGAAACCGAGUCCGAAUAGGGCGCCAUAGUCGCUGGGCGUAGACCCGAAACCAGGUGAUCUAUCCAUGGUCAGGAUGAAGGUUGGGUAACACCAGCUGGAGGUCCGAACCGACUAAUGUUGCAAAAUUAGCGGAUGAACUGUGGAUAGGGGUGAAAGGCUAAUCAAACCUGGAAAUAGCUGGUUCUCCCCGAAAACUAUUUAGGUAGUGCGUCAUGUAUUGCUCCAGGGGGUAGAGCACUGUAAUGGUUGUGGGGGCCAUCGCGGCUUACCACGCCAUAGCAAACUCCGAAUACCUGGAAGUAUGAGCAUGGCAGACAGUCGCCGGGUGCUAACGUCCGGCGGCAAGAGGGAAACAACCCAGACCUACAGCUAAGGUCCCAAAGUGUGGCUAAGUGGGAAACGAAGUGGGAAGGCUAAAACAGUCAGGAUGUUGGCUUAGAAGCAGCCAUCAUUUAAAGAAAGCGUAAUAGCUCACUGAUCGAGUCGUCCUGCGCGGAAGAUGUAACGGGGCUAAGCCAUGCACCGAAGCUUAGGCUGCACUCUUUGAGUGCGGGGUAGGGGAGCGUUCUGUAAGCCUGUGAAGGUGUCUCGUAAGGGAUGCUGGAGGUAUCAGAAGUGCGAAUGCUGACAUGAGUAGCGUUAAAGCGGGUGAAAAGCCCGCUCGCCGUAAGCGCAAGGUUUCCUACGCAACGUUCAUCGGCGUAGGGUGAGUCGGCCCCUAAGGUGAGGGCGAAAGCCAUAGCUGAUGGGAAGCUGGUUAAUAUUCCAGCACCGAUUUCUAGUGCGAUGGGGGGACGGAUCGUGGAAGGUUGUCCGGGUGUUGGAAGUCCCGGUUCCUGACCUGUAGGUGUCUGGUAGGUAAAUCCGCCAGGCGUAUGCCGAGGGGUUGGGACGAGCGAGCUUGCUCGCGAAGCAACUGGAAGUGGUUCCAAGAAAAGCCUCUAAGCUUCAGCUAGAAACGACCGUACCGCAAACCAACACUGGUGCGCGAGAUGAGUAUUCUCAGGCGCUUGAGAGAACUCGGGAGAAGGAACUCGGCAAAUUGACACCGUAACUUCGGAAGAAGGUGUGCCUUGGUAGCUUGAGUGUGAACAACACAAGGGCAAAGAGGUUGCAAAGAAUAGGUGGCUGCGACUGUUUAUUAAAAACACAGCACUCUGCAAACACGAAAGUGGACGUAUAGGGUGUGACGCCUGCCCGGUGCCGGAAGGUUAAGUGAUGGGGUGCAAGCUCUUGAUCGAAGCCCCGGUAAACGGCGGCCGUAACUAUAACGGUCCUAAGGUAGCGAAAUUCCUUGUCGGGUAAGUUCCGACCUGCACGAAUGGCGUAACGACUUCCC
RNAcentral lists this ribosomal RNA (1951 nucleotides) under human metagenome. RNAcentral's name for it is "bacterial LSU rRNA". It matches the Rfam family "Bacterial large subunit ribosomal RNA", at positions 11 to 2013 of the family's 2925-position model. The record is from RNAcentral.